RNAcentral lists this long non-coding RNA (308 nucleotides) under Brassica rapa (field mustard). RNAcentral's name for it is "long non-coding RNA (BRAP_LNC008233)". The record is from RNAcentral. Lineage: Eukaryota; Viridiplantae; Streptophyta; Magnoliopsida; Brassicales; Brassicaceae.
GAAAGGUUGUAUUUUUAAAAUAAAAUUCUCAAAAAUUCUAUUUCUGGUAAGUUUUCGUUUUUAUAGAGAAAUAUUUUAGAUUUGGGAUUGUGAAUUAGAAAAUAGGAUUACAAGAAUUUUUGUUGAUAGAUGAGUAUUGUUUUAGAUUUUUUUAUCUAUACGUGGUAUUUUAUAACUAAAAUUCUUAAAAAUUCUAUUUUAGGAAAGUUUUAAAUUUUAUAGAGAAAUAUUGUAGAUUUGGGACUGUGAUUUAGAAAUUAGGAUAAGAAGAAUUUUUGUUGAUAUAUAAGUAUUGUUUUAGAUUUUUU